Molecule: transfer RNA, 65 nt
Filed under: Anadara vellicata
Lineage: Eukaryota; Metazoa; Mollusca; Bivalvia; Arcoida; Arcidae
Description: tRNA-Lys
Source: RNAcentral
UGACUCUUAAGUUGAAAGACUAUCAAGCUUUUAUUUUGGAGGGGCUCAGAUGUGGGCAGAGUUGU